This 303-nucleotide ribosomal RNA is filed under the name uncultured bacterium. Its description in RNAcentral is "partial 16S ribosomal RNA". It matches the Rfam family "Bacterial small subunit ribosomal RNA", at positions 507 to 807 of the family's 1533-position model. The record is from RNAcentral.
AGCAGUAGCCGCGGUAAUACGGAGGGUGCAAGCGUUAAUCGGAAUUACUGGGCGUAAAGCGUGCGUAGGCGGUUCGUUAAGUCUGUUGUGAAAGCCCCGGGCUCAACCUGGGAAUGGCAAUGGAUACUGGCGAGCUAGAGUGUGUCAGAGGAUGGUGGAAUUCCCGGUGUAGCGGUGAAAUGCGUAGAGAUCGGGAGGAACAUCAGUGGCGAAGGCGGCCAUCUGGGACAACACUGACGCUGAGGCACGAAAGCGUGGGGAGCAAACAGGAUUAGAUACCCCAGUAGUCCCUGUCUCUUAUAC